RNAcentral lists this ribosomal RNA (582 nucleotides) under uncultured bacterium. RNAcentral's name for it is "partial 16S ribosomal RNA". It matches the Rfam family "Bacterial small subunit ribosomal RNA", at positions 355 to 926 of the family's 1533-position model. The record is from RNAcentral.
UGGGGAAUAUUGCACAAUGGGCGCAAGCCUGAUGCAGCCAUGCCGCGUGUGUGAAGAAGGCCUUCGGGUUGUAAAGCACUUUCAGCGAGGAGGAAGGUGGUGAGCUUAAUACGCUCAUCAAUUGACGUUACUCGCAGAAGAAGCACCGGCUAACUCCGUGCCAGCAGCCGCGGUAAUACGGAGGGUGCAAGCGUUAAUCGGAAUUACUGGGCGUAAAGCGCACGCAGGCGGUUUGUUAAGUCAGAUGUGAAAUCCCCGGGCUCAACCUGGGAACUGCAUUUGAAACUGGCAAGCUAGAGUCUCGUAGAGGGGGGUAGAAUUCCAGGUGUAGCGGUGAAAUGCGUAGAGAUCUGGAGGAAUACCGGUGGCGAAGGCGGCCCCCUGGACGAAGACUGACGCUCAGGUGCGAAAGCGUGGGGCAGCAAACAGGAUUAGAUACCCUGGUAGUCCACGCUGUAAAACGAUGUCGAUUUUGGAGGUUGUGCCCUUGAGGCGUGGCUUCCGGAGCUAACGCGUUAAAUCGACCGCCUGGGGAGUACGGCCGCAAGGUUAAAACUCAAAGGAAUUGACGGGGUCUAGCUG